Molecule: ribosomal RNA, 97 nt
Filed under: Sinocyclocheilus grahami
Lineage: Eukaryota; Metazoa; Chordata; Actinopteri; Cypriniformes; Cyprinidae
Source: RNAcentral
AACCGCAAGUAUAUCACCCUGUAGCCCAAGACUGAGCAGGGCUGAGCCUGGUCAGUACCUGGAUGGGAGACCUCCUAGGAAAACUAGAUUGCUGCUG